UGAUAUACUGUAACAUGAUAGUUAAAAAGAUGUUGGUAAUAAUUUUUGAUAAUAAAUCAUCAACUCAAUCAAAUUACCUCAUAAUCAAUUAAAAUAAUGUUUAUGAUUUUGAUGUUUUAUGUUGGUUUAUUGUAUAUCUAUCUCACGAUAAGGUUAGUAUACUGCUUAAUGUAAUAUCAUUAGAGCUGACACAUCAAAAUCCAAGUAUGAUAAAUGUUGAAAUCCACAAUAAACUACAAGAAAAUGUAACGAUACAUUUUACAUUAAUAUUACACACAGAAAUAUUAAGGGAACUUUGUGAUUACAAGAGCUGUAAUGGUGUCUGUCACCUCUGUAUUACUCGGAGAAGGCAGUUUGACUCCUCUCUCAACAUUUAAUCAAAUUUCCACUCUCAUAAGUGUCUUUUUUGGGUGUCAGCAUAAAAAUCUGUGUUUGUCGUUCUGUAGGUGGAAAGCGCAGCUAGCGUCAGCACUAGAGAGGUUCACGGAGGGUCUCCGUCACUGCUGCUUGCUCGGUGUGCCCCGGUGGACAGAUGUGGAUGGGGAGAGGGUAACGGAUGAGGUAUGGUCUUGGCUUGUCACCAGGGCAAUGUGUGGGAGAUAACAAGUGUACAAUAAGAGCCUGCGAGUGAGACCACAUUAAGAAGGCAACACAAACAAGAAGAAAUCUCAAGGAUAAAGAGG
Cyprinus carpio (common carp) is the source of this 683-nucleotide long non-coding RNA. Lineage: Eukaryota; Metazoa; Chordata; Actinopteri; Cypriniformes; Cyprinidae. The record is from Ensembl.